Molecule: ribosomal RNA, 550 nt
Filed under: uncultured bacterium
Lineage: Bacteria
Description: bacterial SSU rRNA
Rfam family: Bacterial small subunit ribosomal RNA
Source: RNAcentral
UGGGGAAUAUUGGACAAUGGGCGAAAGCCUGAUCCAGCCAUGCCGCGUGUGUGAAGAAGGCCUUUUGGUUGUAAAGCACUUUAAGUGGGGAGGAAAAGCUUAUGGUUAAUACCCAUAAGCCCUGACGUUACCCACAGAAUAAGCACCGGCUAACUCUGUGCCAGCAGCCGCGGUAAUACAGAGGGUGCAAGCGUUAAUCGGAAUUACUGGGCGUAAAGCGCGCGUAGGUGGUUAUUUAAGUCAGAUGUGAAAGCCCCGGGCUUAACCUGGGAACUGCAUCUGAUACUGGAUAACUAGAGUAGGUGAGAGGGGAGUAGAAUUCCAGGUGUAGCGGUGAAAUGCGUAGAUAUAUGGAGGAACACCGGUGGCGAAAGCGGCUCUCUGGUCUGUAACUGACGCUGAGGCUCGAAAGCGUGGGGAGCGAACAGGAUUAGAUACCCUGGUAGUCCACGCCGUAAACGAUGAGUGCUAGGUGUUAGGUCCUUUCCGGGACUUAGUGCCGCAGCUAACGCAUUAAGCACUCCGCCUGGGGAGUACGACCGCAAGGUUG